This is a non-coding RNA of Vicugna pacos (alpaca), 2260 nucleotides long. Lineage: Eukaryota; Metazoa; Chordata; Mammalia; Artiodactyla; Camelidae. The record is from RefSeq and is a predicted model, not a curated record.
GGAUGUCUGGCAGCCAGGCAGGAGCAGAGACGAGGGAGGCAGUUUGAUGGAGCCACGCAGUUCCCCCACUGUGCCCCACCCUCCACAUGCCUGAGCAAGGGACCCUUGGCCACCCCAACCCGUGAAGCUGUGCAACCAGCACCUCGGUCACCACGAACAUGUCAUCCCCACGGCGCCGCAGCUGCUGCAGGAUUUUGUGCUCGGGCUUCCGCAGACGCCUAUGCAUGUUCCUGCCUCUGGAACUUCCUUCAAAUUGUGCUGACCUCAGCCUGUGCUGACUACAGACACCCUGUGACUUCUGAUGUCCCAAGGUCAUGACGCAGAGGCUGCUCAGGGCUUACCUCUCUCGGUGCAUGGCUUCCCAGGUGCUGGGGGCCACUCGUAGCAUGCACACGUUCAUUGAGGCACUGGAGCUGCUGGACCCCGCGGCCUUGCCUGAGAUCUUCCCCUGUCCUGGGGCCGCUAGCUUCACACUGCCCUUCAGCUGCCCGUCCAUAGUCUCGUGGAAGUGGAAGGGGCCGUCCUGCUCCACAGCUAGAGCGAGACCAGAGCUGAGGCCCCAUCCAGUGCUGCCUGUCCUGCCUGGGCCAAGGGACCUUUGGAAAGGGCCUGCCCUCUGGAAGCAGAGCACCCAGAGGCCCAGAGCAGGUGGCAGCUGGCCCACCCACGCCCCUCCCACCUUUGGCUCUGACUCAGUGCUAGGUGGGUACCUGGCUCCGGGGCAUCAGGCUCCAGGAUGUCCCUGAGGGACAAGUUGACACAUUUGUAGCGAGGUCUCCAGAACCAUGAACUCAAGGGCCUCCUGCCCAAAAGGCAGUAGGGCUGGAAGCUGGUGGAGCUCCACAGGCUGUUCACUGGAGUUAGCUCCUUACUGUGGUCCAGCUCCUGGACCACGCUCUUGACCACCCUCUCAAAGGCGGAUGCCAUGCUCCUGAGGCGGGCAGGUGAGUCAGGCCUCGCACACACAGGGCUGGAAGUGGGGGGAAGUAGGUACUUGGAUGUCUCCAGAAAUGGGGAACUCUCUCCCUCCAAGGCAAUUCUGCGUGGUGAGGCUCUGACUGGCAGAAAGCCCUUGCCCCUGGCUACUACCCAACACAGAAAGAAACAGCGUGGACCCUGUCACCCACUGGUCCACCUGUCCGAGGCGCCAUGAGCACCUCCAAGCUGGGACAUCAUUCACAGCCCUCAGUGGGACUCAGGCCAUGCAUACCACCUGUUCUGUGACCAGAGUGCCCACACGAAGCCCAAGAAAGUCCUGGAACUCUGAGGGUGGGGGUGGGGGUGGGGCCAGGGGUGGGGCCACCCUCGGCCACCCACUGAAGCCUCCAUCACUGUGUCACCACAACAAGGCCUAGGGCUGCUCGUGGAAAGCAGCCCUAGAGGAACGGCAAGGCGAGGCGGGAGCCUGCAGCAGCUGUCUCCCUGGCUGAGGUGCUCAGAGGUCUGGGAAGAAAGAGAAGCCACCAGUUCUUGGGCGUUCGGCACAGGGGCCCCAGCAAGGCCCAGCCAUGGUAUCCUCAGCUCCUAGGCGUAUCCUCUAUGGCUUCCUCUGUGCCCAUGGUCUAAAGCUGAGUCCACAGGAGUCUGAGGCCAAGGUGGGCCUGACCCAAGACAGAUCAGGGUUCCAGGCACGGCGGUCAGCCCUCAUGAAGCCUCGGAGCCUCGGUGCUGGUCUGAAAUCCAAAUGGGCCAAGGGGCACCUGAGGGGCCAAACCAGCCAGUCUGGGGGGGAGCCCCCUUUCCGGAGGCCGGGGACUUCCCCAAGCCAGUUCGGGAUUAUAGGAGUCCUUGGGGGCUUGAGGAAACCCUGGGCGGGUGCCGGGGCCAGGUCACCUCCCAGAGGGGCUGGCCUCCCCCACCCAGCGCUAGCAGAGCCCAGCCUGCCUGGCAGCGGAGUGCAAGUGUAGGUAGGGCGCGGGGGCAGCUCACCCUGACUGUUGCACCCAGGCCCCACUGCCACAGCGCUGAAGCCGGUGUCCUGACGGCUCUGCCCUGGAGCUGCCUGCAGAGCAAGCGCACCGCCUGGAGAUUACCAGACUCAAGAGUGAAAGCGGCCUGGUGCAGCGACGAUGUUCCGGGAAACGCCCCUUGUGCCGCCCCGCGGCGGCGGGAGAGGGGAGGGCAGGCUCGCGCCCCACCUAACACUGCCUCCAACGGCUUGGAAUGUUUCCCAUCUUUCUCUCCUAAAAGUCUGGGCCACAGCAAAGGGUCUGAAUACACAUUUCUCCAAAGAAAAUGUACAAAUGGCCAGCGAGCACAC